RNAcentral lists this ribosomal RNA (253 nucleotides) under uncultured bacterium. RNAcentral's name for it is "partial 16S ribosomal RNA". It matches the Rfam family "Bacterial small subunit ribosomal RNA", at positions 524 to 776 of the family's 1533-position model. The record is from RNAcentral.
UACGUAGGGGGCGAGCGUUGUCCGGAAUCAUUGGGCGUAAAGGGCGCGUAGGCGGCCAUGCGUGUCUUCCGUGAAAUCCCUCGGCUUAACUGAGGACGUGCGGAAGAAACUGCAAGGCUCGAGUCCGGGAGAGGGGGGUGGAAUUCCCAGUGUAGCGGUGAAAUGCGUAGAUAUUGGGAGGAACACCGGUGGCGAAGGCGGCCCCCUGGACCGGUACUGACGCUGAGGCGCGAAAGCGUGGGGAGCGAACAGG